Long non-coding RNA from Malaclemys terrapin pileata, 469 nucleotides. RefSeq lists it as uncharacterized. The record is from RefSeq and is a predicted model, not a curated record. Lineage: Eukaryota; Metazoa; Chordata; Testudines; Emydidae. The transcript has 3 exons.
UCUUUUCUGAUUGCACUUGGGGUGUCAUUAACAGCAGGUUUAUCAACACAAGGCACCCGUACCAAAGUGUUGCGUGUACACGGGAAAGAAAGAUUGAGCAAACGAAGACCAGAGGAGAAGGAAGAAGAAAGAUUAAGGAGCACAGUCCAACUUCGAGAAAGAAACCCCCUGGAAGUCUUUUCGCAAAGACAAGUAUCAGGCAUGCCUAAGAAUGAAACAAUUCUUGGUGGGGGUGGAAAACGAAGUCAGUUUUUUUCCAAUAAGAAAAAAAAGAUAUGUCCUUAAGGGCCAGCUCCUACACACCAGCGGAGUGCCUCUGUCCGAUAAGGAGGCGAAUGAGGAGUAAGGAGAACAUGUUUCGUAAAGUGCUGCCAUCGUUAAAUCAGGCCGAUACAAAGCACAGAGCAUGGAGAGAGACCAGAAAUGAAAAAUUAGAAAUGGAUAGCCAAUAGAGGACACAGGGACAGGA